RNAcentral lists this ribosomal RNA (253 nucleotides) under uncultured bacterium. RNAcentral's name for it is "partial 16S ribosomal RNA". It matches the Rfam family "Bacterial small subunit ribosomal RNA", at positions 524 to 776 of the family's 1533-position model. The record is from RNAcentral.
UACAGAGGGUGCGAGCGUUAAUCGGAAUUACUGGGCGUAAAGCGCACGUAGGCGGUUCGUUAUGUCGGAUGUGAAAGCCCUUGGCUUAACCGAGGAAGUGCAUCCGAAACUGGCGAGCUAGAGUACGAAAGAGGAUCGCGGAAUUCCCGGUGUAGAGGUGAAAUUCGUAGAUAUCGGGAGGAACACCGGUGGCGAAGGCGGCGAUCUGGGUCGAUACUGACGCUGAGGUGCGAAAGCGUGGGGAGCAAACAGG